RNAcentral lists this ribosomal RNA (1016 nucleotides) under Pseudodiplogasterid sp. MJ-2005. RNAcentral describes it as "partial 18S ribosomal RNA". The record is from RNAcentral. Lineage: Eukaryota; Metazoa; Nematoda; Chromadorea; Rhabditida; Pseudodiplogasteridae.
AGAUCAUUAGAGAUGCGACAUCUACUAUGGAAAGUACACGUACCUCCAAAGAGAUGCAGUCUCGAUAUUGAUAGUCACUACCUCCUCGAAUAGAGAGGGAGAAGAUUCACGCGCCGCGGUGCUUCCCCGGGAGAUGGGAGACCGUUUCUAAAGCGUCCACUCUCUGCGAGAGCUCAACACCUUAUAUCUCUGCGAUCCGUGAACACACCCUGUGGAAAGCAAACAUAACAUAUCCCCCUAGUUGAAAGAGGCGGACACCCAUUUCUCGGAUGUACGUCGUCGAAACUGAACCAUACACAUGCUUUAUAAUUAGUCAAAGACACAACGAACGGGAUUAGACCCCUGGCCGGCUUCGAUCUAUUGAGCGCGUGCCAAUAUUGGGAGCAACUUGUAGGUGACACAGUAUUCAGCUUCAACACAUCAAACAUACCAUAUCCGGAUUGCCAGAACAAGGAGCAGGUCAGACUUCAUAGGGGGUCAAUAAGUGAAUUCUCAUUGAUGAUUCCUGUUUACGCAUGUGUUCCCUUCUAUAUGCAUGGCUAAACAUCUUUACCCCCCUCCCCCCCCCCCCCCCCCCCCCCCCUUUCGUCCGCCCGCUCGGCUUGACAUCGAGUCUCCCGGAUCUCUCCCGUCCUCUCUCCCCUCCUUGUCUUCACCUUCUUUCUAUAUCUCUCUCCCUUAUUCUACAUCCUUCUCCACUCACCUAAUCUUUAUUUUCUCUCGUCUCAUGUUUCUCCGUCUGGCUCGUGUUGCCCCUUCCGACCCGCCCUGCCCUCCCCUCCUCUCCACUCCCUCUCCUUUCGCCUUAUUCCUCACUAUCUCCCCCCUCUCUCCUUCUCCACUCUAUCACUCUAUCUUCUCUCAUCUCCCUUACCCUCCCACCCUACUUCCUUCCUUUCUCAUCUCUAUCCACCUACUCUUCUUCCCCUCCCUCCCCAACUUAUCUCUGCCUCUCUCCCUCACCCACCACCGACCCCACCCACACUACAUCACCUACCCUUCACAUUCCAUUACUG